RNAcentral lists this ribosomal RNA (2946 nucleotides) under Candidatus Acetothermia bacterium. Its description in RNAcentral is "bacterial LSU rRNA". It matches the Rfam family "Archaeal large subunit ribosomal RNA". Lineage: Bacteria; Candidatus Bipolaricaulota. The record is from RNAcentral.
ACGGACGCCGCCCGGUGGAUGGCUCGGCUCGGGAGCCGACGAAGGGCGUGGCAAGCUGCGAUAAGCCCCGGGUAGGCGCAUGCAGCCGUAGAUCCGGGGAUGCCCGAAUGGGACCUCCCGCCCACGCUCUGCGUGGGCGCUCCCAUAACCCUCUGGGGAGCUCUUCGGAGCUCCUCGGAGGGUGAGGGAGCGGGAACCCCCCGAACGGAAGCAUCCAAGUAGGGGGAGGAAAAGAAACCAAUUGGGAUCCCCUGAGUAGGGGCGACCGAAAGGGGGAGAGCCCAAACCGAACCCGGUGGGGAAACCCAUCGGGGAUGUGGGGUUGCUGGGGGUCGGCCGCUCCCUCCCCGGCGAAGCCGAAGUGGUCUGGAAAGUCCCGCCGUAGAGGGUGAUAGCCCCGUAGGCGUAAGCCGGGUGGGAAUGGGCCGACUGCCAGAGUACCGCGCCUUGGUUUUGGCGUGGGAAUCUGGGGGGCACUAACCUCCAAGGCUAAAUACUACCCGAGACCGAUAGCGCACUAGUACGGUGACGGAAAGCUGAAAAGAACCCCGGGAGGGGUGUGAAAAGAGCCUGAAACCGGGCGGCUACAUCCGUGCGCGGCCCGAAAGGGUAGAACCCUCCCGAAGGAAACCCCGGCGACGGGGGAGUACGAGGGAGGGGGACCAGGGUCGCGCACUCCGUCUUGAAACACGGGCCGGGGAGUUCACGGCCGUGGCGAGCUUAAGGGCUGAAAGCCCGAAGGCGUAGGGAAACCGACAUGCCCGCAGCCUCCCGCACGGGAGGUGAGGGGCGGGGUCUGAAAGGGCCCGGAGUCACGGCCGUGAGACCCGAAACCGGGCGAUCUAGCCCUGGGCAGGGCGAAGCCGGGCGAAAGCCCGGUGGAGGCCCGAAGGGGUGCUGACGUGCAAUUCGCUCCCAUGACCUGGGGCUAGGGGCAAAAGGCCAAUCUAGCCCGGUGAUAGCUGGUUCCCCCCGAAGUGGGUCGCAGCCCAGCCCCGGGCGAGGUUGCCGGCGGGGUAGAGCACCGAUUGGGCGGUUUGGGGCUUCGGCCUCGCCGCCCUUUCGAACUCCGAACCCGUCGGCGCCGUAGACCCCGGGAGACGGGCCUCCGGGGGAAAGCUCCGGAGCCGAGAGGGGAACAACCCGGACCGCGGUUAAGGCCCCCAAGUGCCGGCUAAGUGUCAAACGGAAGGGCGUCCCGAGCCUUAGACAGCGGGGAGGUAGGCUUAGAAGCAGCCAUCCUUUAAAGAGUGCGUAACAGCUCACCCGCCGAGGCUCGGGGCCCCGAAAAUGGACGGGGCUAAGCCGGCCGCCGAUACCGCGGGGUUGAGCCGUAAAGGCUCAAUCCGGUAGGGGGGCGUCGGGGUUGGGCAGAAGCCGGGCCGUGAGGUCCGGUGGACCGGCCCCGAUUGCAGAUCCCGGCGGUAGUAACAGCAAAGUCGGGUGAGAAUCCCGACCGCCGAAGGGGCCAGGGUUUCCCAGCAAUGCGUCGUCAGCUGGGAGUUAGUCGGUCCUAAGGCCAGGGCCAACCUACCUGGCCGAAAGGGAAACAGGUUAAUAUUCCUGUACCGCGGGGGUACGCUUUCGCGGCGACGCAAGCCCGAAGCGUGACGCCUCGGGGUAGGCCGAGCGGGGCCGCCGCCCCGUUUAACCGUAUAAGCCUGGGGAGUGCCGUAAUGGCGAGAACCAGGCGAAAGCGGGAAUAGCCGCCCGUAUAGGGCGGUUCGGCCGAUCCCUGGGGCCAGUGAAAAGCGCUUCGGGAAGGAUCCCCCGCGACCGUACCGAGAACCGACACAGGUGCCCCUGGGUGAGAAGCCUAAGGCGUGUCGGGGACACUCCGGGUGAGGGAACUCGGCAAAUUGGCCCCGUACCUUCGGAAGAAGGGGUGCCUGCGGUCUUGGCCUCAAGGCUGGGACCGCAGGUCGCAGUGACAAGGGGGUCCCGGCUGUUUAAUAAAAACAUAGGGAGCUGCAAGCCCGAAAGGGUGUGUACAGCUCCUGAAUCCUGGCCAGUGCCGGUCCCUGAACCCCGGGUUCAACCGGGAUAAGGGCCGGUAAACGCCGGGAGUAACUCUGACUCUCUUAAGGUAGCCAAAUGCCUUGUCGGGUAAGUUCCGACGUGCAUGAACGGAUCCACGAGGGCCCCACUGUCCCCACCCGGAGCCCGGUGAACCCACAUCCUGGCCGAACAGUCCAGGAUCCCCCGGCGGGAAGAGAAGACCCCGUGGAGCUUUACUGCAGCCUGUCGCUGGGGUGUGGCUGCGGGUGCAGAGCGUAGGUGGGAGCCGGUGAAGGAGCCUCUCCGGGGGCUCUGGAGGCGCCGAUGGAACACCACCCACCCGUGGCUACGCCCCUAACCGGGGGCCGAACCCCCGGGACAACGGCAGGUGGGCAGUUUGGCUGGGGCGGCACCCCCCUGAAAAGAUAUCAGGGGGGCCCAAAGGUCGGCUCAGGCGGGACAGAAACCCGCCGUGGAGUGCAAGGGCAAAAGCCGGCCUGACUGGACCCUCCACAGUAAGGGGUCCAGGGGCGAAAGCCGGGCCUAGCGAGCUGUCGUGCCCCAUUAGUGGGGGCCGGCAGUGACAGAAAAGUUACCCCGGGGGUAACAGGCUCGUCGCGGGCGAGAGUCCACAUCGACCCCGCGGCUUGGUACCUCGAUGUCGGCUCUCCCCAUCCUGGCCUCGCACAAGGGGCCAAGGGUGGGGCUGCUCGCCCAUUAAAGGGGAACGUGAGCUGGGUUUAGACCGUCGCGAGACAGGUCGGACUCUAUCUGCCGGGGGUGCUGGCCGCCUGAGGGGAAGGGGUCCCCAGUACGAGAGGAACGGGACCCCGGGGCCUCUAGUCUACCGGUUGUCCGGCAGGGCAUCGCCGGGCAGCCACGCCCCAAGGGAUAAGGGCUGAAAGCAUCUAAGCCCGAAGCCCGCCCCAAAAAUAGGCGGCCAUUCCC